This 2239-nucleotide ribosomal RNA is filed under the name Triticum aestivum (bread wheat). RNAcentral describes it as "partial small subunit ribosomal RNA". The record is from RNAcentral. Lineage: Eukaryota; Viridiplantae; Streptophyta; Magnoliopsida; Poales; Poaceae.
CGGUCACUGACCAAUACCGACGGGGGCAGGGGAGUGUGGGGUGGUCACUAUUCACGACGGGGGUGGGGGCGGGGGAGUGUAGAGUGGUCGCUGUUCACGACGUUUGGUUGUGGGUGACCACAACAGCUAUGACCGCUGUUCACUACUUCUGCUCGCCACCGGCCGCAACCCCGCAACAUUGGUGCCGCUUUUCAAUACCUCUAGACCGGAAAACAAAAACUUUCGUCUGGGUUAAAACGACGAUUGCGGAAGCAAAAAACGACUUUGUAAGUAAAAAAAAGAACGAUGCUACACAAAACGAAAAACGACCUUGGUUGAAGUUCUGCCGUACCCCUUUUUCGAAGAUGGGACCCUUCUUUUUCGAAGUUAGCCCACACUUUUUCGAAGUAGGCCGACGUCGUUUUCGAAGUUCACGGUACUCCUUUUUCGAAGGUGGCAUCCUUUUUUCGAAGUAACCACUUUUUUCGAAGUUGGCCACUAAAUUAAACGACCUUGGUUAACUACAAAAACAACCUUGGUUAAAAGAAGUACUCCACGCCGCCGCUCUGUAAAAAAUAAAAACGACAUAAACACGAAAAAGGACCUUGGUAGUUUACUAAAACGAUGUUCCUCGAAACUAAAAACGACCUUGGCGGACUUCGCCUCCUUAUGUAAAUUAAAAACGACCUUGGAGAAAGUUAAAAACGAUGUUGACCGUUAGUGUUUUCGAUGUUAGCCCCUAGUUAAAACGAUGUUACCGCUGUCCCACCACCGUGCCUGCUCGAUACAAACGACCUUGGUCGUGUUAAAAAACAAUGAUGGCCGCCAGUUUAAACAACGGUGGUCGUUUGAGUUUCCUUUCGGGAAAAAAGCACUCGAGCAGCGGUCCCACAACGCUGGUCGCUGGCCGCGAUGACCUCGAUACCGGCAGCAUCGCCUCGAUGGUAGCGGCCACUCCCUCGACGUUGGCGCCGGCAUUCAACAACGUACACAGCUAGGCCGCUCUUUCUGUACUCUGCUGCUGCCGCUCCAGCCGCCGCUGCCGCCGGUACCGCCACUCUGCAACGGCCGUAGCCCACCCACGUGUAGGGGCACGUCGGUGCUGAGGGUACACACGGGCCACCGACCUAAACUCUGCGUCCCCUCCUUCUGCGAUACGAACAGUACCGUAGAUUCUACGCCCCAAUCUUCUGCUGGAUGACAGUGCCCUAGCCUGCUAACCUUAAUCCUUUUAGCCUGCCAACGCCCAACUGGCCGGGUUUAAACUCGCCACGCGGCCGCUGGGCGGAUCAUUUUUACAGUACCGACAUGACGGGUGAUCAUGUCGGCUAGACGAGGAGCACGCGGAACACGUGCGCCAAGGAAGCGGACAUUCCGAGGUUGGGGGACUUUAUUGUGCGGCAAGGUAGGUUGUCCUUCGUUAAACGUCUAGGUAGGGUAGUACCUUCGUCUGCCGUUGCUCUAGAGCGCGGACGGCCUCCUCGAGGAGCGCAGCUAGUAGAGGGCGUGCAGCGGCGGCCUGCGGCCUGCGACACGGCGGCAGAGGGCGAGGAAGGAGCGGCGCCGCCUAAGGCUGCGGCAGACCAGGACGAAGGACGGGGCGCUGGAGGGUGCCAAGCGACUUCCACACGAGGGGGUGCGCGGCGGCAGGUUCUUCCCGAACAAGGCUACGGAGAGGCUGGUUGGCCGCGAGGAGGGUCCGUUCGAGCACCAUGCAUGCAUCAUGUCUAGGGUACAUAUAGUGGGGUUCAGGGGUUGGGUUGGUCAUGACGAAUACUUUUAGCCGAUUAGGUAGCUAGGCGGGUCCAUUCUGGUAUACGGAGUAUGCUCGACACUACGUUAAGGAGAGUGUCUACUGCAAUACGAGGGAGCUUUUUCCCAACUGCCGACCUACCUCCAGCUCGAUCCGCUCAAGAUGUUGCCACUUUCGACGCUGUCGCUACACAGACACACGGAUUUCCUUUGGCUUCCUCCUCAAACCUUCUGACCAGAAUAACACACCCCAUAACUCUAAUCUUGAUUCGUUACUACAACUACUCGAACAACCCAAUUCUUGCAGCAGAUGUAAGGAAAGAUUUUUUGUUAGACAAAUUCAACAACGUUCACUUUGGAAUUGAUAGGUAGAUUUAAAAACUUUGUCAAGCAACCACUUUCAUGUACAGACAACGAUAAGCAUUGAGACAGAAGAAAUAGAUAAAAGUAGAGCUGGUUAUGUAACUGAUCAUACAUUUCAGUUCCGAAAAUAAAUACAGAAAAUCUA